Molecule: ribosomal RNA, 497 nt
Filed under: uncultured bacterium
Lineage: Bacteria
Description: partial 16S ribosomal RNA
Rfam family: Bacterial small subunit ribosomal RNA
Source: RNAcentral
GAUGAACGCUGGCGGCGUGCCUAAUACAUGCAAGUCGAGCGAACAGACGAGGAGCUUGCUCCUCUGACGUUAGCCGCGGACGGGUGAGUAACACGUGGAUAACCUACCUAUAAGACUGGUAUAACUUCGGGAAACCGGAGCUAAUACCGUAUAAUAUAUUGAACCGCAUGGUUCAAUAGUGAAAGACGGUUUUGCUGUCACUUAUAGAUGGAUCCGCGCCGCAUGAGCUAGUUGGUAAGGUAACGGCUUACCAAGGCAACGAUGCGUAGCCGACCUGAGAGGGGGAUAGGCCACACUGGAACUGAGACACGGUCAAGACUCCUACGGGAGGCAGCAGUAGGGAAUCUUCCGCAAUGGGCGAAAGCCUGACGGAGCAACGCCGCGUGAGUGAUGAAGGUCUUCGGAUCGUAAAACUCUGUUAUUAGGGAAGAACAAAUGUGUAAGUAACUAUGCACGUCUUGACGGUACCUAAUCAGAAAGCAACGGCUAACUACGUG